AAGUGGAGUGGUAAUAGUUGAACGUUUUGCUUCCCUUUGUAGGAACACGGACAUCGCUAGCAGGAGAAAGUAUGUGAGGUUGGUAGAGUCAGUCAAGAAAUAUGGCGGUACAGUGCACACAUUUCUUACUGCAUGCUCUUUAUUCAUAGAUGCUCAUUUCACACCAUGAUCAAUGAGAAUUUCGAACUUCAAUAAACUGUCACACUGUUCUGGACAUGAGGUCUAACAAAAACUAUAGUUCAAUGUAGUGUUUUUCUCCCUUCUUGAUCGAUGUGGCAGAGGUCAUGGACUGCUUUGAUGCUUGCAAAAUUGUUUUUCCAUCUCUACUAUUUUCUACCUUUGGAACUACUUAAAUUGAUUUCCUCAUGUUGGUCAUUGUUCUCACUUGGGUGGACUCUGUCCUUUUUUUUCGCGAAUACGCAAGCUGUGUAUCAUUUCAUUGAUAGGUAGGAGAACAAGAGUUACAACUUACAAGGUGGUAGAUACAUAGCUCGUACACCGGAGGGCGAGGAUGGAUCUACAAUGAGCAGAAGAAGCCGGGGUGCUCAGCCCAAACACAAACAGGUGCAGAGGCA
Molecule: long non-coding RNA, 575 nt
Filed under: Triticum aestivum (bread wheat)
Lineage: Eukaryota; Viridiplantae; Streptophyta; Magnoliopsida; Poales; Poaceae
Description: long non-coding RNA (TAES_LNC007259)
Source: RNAcentral